UGCCAGCCGCCGCGGUAAUACGGAGGGAGCUAGCGUUGUUCGGAAUUACUGGGCGUAAAGCGUGCGUAGGCGGAUCGACAAGUUGGGGGUGAAAUCCCGGGGCUUAACCCCGGAACUGCCCUCAAAACUGUCGAUCUAGAGACCGGGAGAGGUAAGCGGAAUUCCUAGUGUAGAGGUGAAAUUCGUAGAUAUCAGGAGGAACACCGAUGGCGAAGGCAGCUUUCUGGACAGAUACUGACGCUGAGGUGCGAAAGCGUGGGGAGCAAACAGGAUUAGAUA
This 279-nucleotide ribosomal RNA is filed under the name uncultured bacterium. RNAcentral describes it as "partial 16S ribosomal RNA". It matches the Rfam family "Bacterial small subunit ribosomal RNA", at positions 506 to 784 of the family's 1533-position model. The record is from RNAcentral.